Molecule: ribosomal RNA, 435 nt
Filed under: uncultured bacterium
Lineage: Bacteria
Description: bacterial SSU rRNA
Rfam family: Bacterial small subunit ribosomal RNA
Source: RNAcentral
AACGCGAAGAACCUUACCUGGGCUCGAACGGCUUUGGAAAGUCCUUGGAAACAGGGAUUUCCCGCAAGGGACCGGAGUCGAGGUGCUGCAUGGCUGUCGUCAGCUCGUGUCGUGAGAUGUUGGGUUAAGUCCCGCAACGAGCGCAACCCUUGUCCUGUGUUGGCAUGCCGCAAGGCGCAACUCGCAGGAGACCGCCAGCGAUAAGCUGGAGGAAGGUGGGGAUGACGUCAAGUCAUCAUGGCCUUUAUGUCCAGGGCCACACACGUGCUACAAUGGGCGGUACAAAGCGCUGCCAACCCGCGGGGGGGAGCUAAUCGCCAAAAACCGUCCUCAGUUCGGAUCGCAGGCUGCAACUCGCCUGCGUGAAGCUGGAAUCGCUAGUAAUGCUAUAUCAGAACGAUAGCGUGAAUACGUUCCCGGGCCUUGUACACACCG